CGCGUGAGUGAAGAAGGGUUUCGGCUCGUAAAGCUCUGUUGUUGGUGAAGAAGGACAGGGGUAGUAACUGACCUUUGUUUGACGGUAAUCAAUUAGAAAGUCACGGCUAACUACGUGCCAGCAGCCGCGGUAAU
RNAcentral lists this ribosomal RNA (134 nucleotides) under uncultured bacterium. RNAcentral's name for it is "partial 16S ribosomal RNA". It matches the Rfam family "Bacterial small subunit ribosomal RNA", at positions 398 to 524 of the family's 1533-position model. The record is from RNAcentral.